UUGCUCAUUAAAUGACCCUAUGAAUUUGGUCAUUUGGUUUGGAAGGACUACUGCAUUUAUUUGACAGAAUGAUCCUGAUUUUAUUGUUUGACUUGGUGAGAAAAAGGGUGGAUGGCCACUCUAUAUAUAAACACAGCCAGGUUUAUUAGUACAUCAAAAUAUACAGGUUUAUAGAACCUCUAAAAUUUAGAUGUUGAUCGUUUCAGCUAAGAAAAAAAAAAGUUAACCUGGAUGUUUUUUGUUUUUUUCCCUCAGCAAAUCUAAGGCAGUUCAGCAACUCUAUUACUGUAAAUAUCUGCCUUUGGUGUUGCUUGGGGAAUUGGUAGGAAUCAUGGAAAAACCUAGCUUGGAAGUGACCUGUAGGCUUCAUUUCCCUAGCUUCUGGAGGAGGGAUAUAUUUGAGAAGCAGUGUAUUUAAGCGUCAGGAGAUUAGGGUGUGGGUAUGAGCCAAGACAUUGUUGGUUGCUGCUUGAUGAGGUGACUUAUUUGUGGAGUGGGACCAACAACGGUGUUGGAAGCUAGGUGAUCUCGGCCUGAGGCACUGUGCUGUAAUGGUAGACACAUGUACAACAAGAUUAAUGGGAAAGGAGGCUUAACAGAGUGUUGAAGUGUUAAAGAGGGAACUCAAAGGCCUUGUCCAUCUGGAUUGACCUUCAGGUUGAAACUAGGUAGAGCCAAAUGCCUAUAUGCUAUUUGCCUUGGAGUGCUCCUCUGUCACAUGGAAAUAGGAUUUUUUGUUUGUUUGUUUCUGAUGUGAAUCAACUCUUCAACAUGAAAUGUUAACAAAAAAACAUCUUGCCUAGGGUUUAAAAAUGUAUUCAAUGCAGAAAGUCUUGAAAAUAUUUAAUGCUUCAAAUAAUUUUCCCCAGCCUCUUAGGUAUCUUGUACUAAAAGUGUCUUUUUGUUGAAAUAUUUUUAAAAAUAUUAGUUUCCACUUUCACUUUUUUGUUCCCAGGACAACUGUUCCUCUGAACCACAAUUGCUCCUUUAUUUUAUUUUUUUCUGGUUUUGAAAUAACCCAUCCUGCAUCCAUAAACAACUUGCCUUGAUGGCUAGCCAAGACUCUGUCCUGCCACAGACCUCCUCCUACUUUCAUUUCUUACCCCAAGGAGCAGUAAACAUGAAUCCUGACCCACUAAUGGAGCCCCAGAACUGAGAAGAUACAUUGCUGCUAAACAGGAUUAUUUUUGCACCUUUGGAAAGCAACUGAAAAAAGAAGCUUGGAAAAAAUCCUGCCUAACAAAGCAGCCAUACUCAAAUAGCUAAAACUAUAAGAAACAACUGAUUGAAGAUACAAGAAUAGAUUUAAGAUGUAAGAUUAAAACAUGAUAAAAAAUGA
Neofelis nebulosa (Clouded leopard) is the source of this 1339-nucleotide long non-coding RNA. RefSeq lists it as uncharacterized. Lineage: Eukaryota; Metazoa; Chordata; Mammalia; Carnivora; Felidae. The transcript has 2 exons. The record is from RefSeq and is a predicted model, not a curated record.